RNAcentral lists this non-coding RNA (162 nucleotides) under Paramoeba aestuarina. Lineage: Eukaryota; Discosea; Flabellinia; Dactylopodida; Paramoebidae. The record is from RNAcentral.
CUUUCUCCUUUUCUUUCUCUUUCUCCUUUUCUUUCUUAUUCUUUGACUUUUUUAUCUUUGGGCUGGAGGGGUUGAGUAGGCAUCGAUGGUGGAUAAAACAUGCCCUCAUUAACCGGCUCAGGAAAAAAAUUAGUUCUUUUUCUUUUUUUUGUCUCAAAAGCA